This 4355-nucleotide long non-coding RNA is filed under the name Malus domestica (apple). RNAcentral describes it as "long non-coding RNA (MDOM_LNC006442)". The record is from RNAcentral. Lineage: Eukaryota; Viridiplantae; Streptophyta; Magnoliopsida; Rosales; Rosaceae.
UUGCUUCAUGUAUGUUUCUCGAUUGUUUGAGUUUACUCUUUGCCUUCAGUUUUUAUUGAAUUUUUUGACUUUUUGUGCAUGAAAUAAUCUAUUUGUUAUAUGUCAUGGUUAAAGGUUUGGUUUCUUUCUUUUUUCCCUUUUAUCAAAAGAAAACUAAUGAAAAUGGCUUGAAAACUUUAAGUUUUAAUGAUAAUGACAAAAUAAAGGGUAAAGUGAAUAGUACCCAGAUUGACUUUUUAGUGUAAAAAUAUGGUUUUUCGUUAAAGUGAACAGUACCGGGUGUUUUUCGUUAAAGUUCCAUUUUAUCAAUCCUCUCUCUUUACAAUUUAAGUUGAAUUACCAUGGGAUGUACAACAAGGGAGGCUAAAAAGCAGUCUAGCCCCAGGAAAAGGCCAUAAACAAAGAAAGAGACCAGUGCUUAAAAGAGGCUAGCGAUGGUUAAACUUAAAAGAGGCUAAGUAGUCCGAAAGAGAUUUAACAAGACAUAAAACGCAACUUUUGUCCAAAUCCUAGACAUCCCACUAACCCAAAAAAAGUACAAAAUGACAGCUGGCUACUCCAACGUGAUCAACACCUUUGGUUCAUUUUCCACGUUGGUGGAUUACCCUAAGCCCCUCAAAUAAUUAACAAAUCAUCCAAACGUGUUUCACGUUGGUGGGUUAUCCUGAAUCUCUUAAUAAUUAACAAAUAAAUCAGCAUGCUUUCACAGUGCAUCUGCACAUUUUGGUUCCAGGAAGUGAUAAAACUGAAAGUUGAACAAUGUUUUUACAUCAGCUCCACAACAUCAUUAACUUUUGACACCUUCAAUUAUUUUGAAUUAAUAGCACAAUAAUAAAGCUACUUUAAUUUUCUUCUUUGGGAUUACUUUAAUUAUGCAGGCAUCCUUGGUUGCAUUGCCUUAAAAAUGCAUGCAAUCUCGGACACUUAACAAAGUUGCUUACUUUGAUGAGCAAUUUUCCCCCAAAAAAGAAUUGAGUGCAUCAGGCACAGAUCAUGGCCCAUAAAUUAUAAAAAUAGUUACGAAAAACUACAAAAGCAAGUGCCCACUUAAUAUACGUCUAAAUGUGUGUCUAAAAAUUUAAAGGUGUGGUUUACUAAAAAUAAUAAAUAAAUUAAUUAAUUAAAUGUGUGAACAAAAGUUUAAAAUUAUGUGAAAAAGUCUAAAGGUGUCAAAAAAAUAGUAUAAAUGUGUAUGUAAAAGUCUAAAUAUGUGUGUAAACGUCUAAAGCUGUGUGAAAAUAAAGACUUUUGAACACUUAUAUUUUAUGUUGUCGUGUAAAAUCUCUAUAAAAGAGAUGUCUAUGUAUGUUUGUAAUCAAUCACAUUCCAGCAAUACGAAAAUAAAAUAUUUUUGUUAUCAGAAGAAACUUGUUGCUAAUAGUCUGAAAAACAUUCAAACUAAUUUUCUAAAACCAGUGAAACAUAAUUUCACACUAAAAGUAAAGGGGAUGAUGGCAUAUCAUAGUGUUCAUUUAUGUUGAUAAUAUAAUCUACACAAGGAGCUGACAAGAAUUAAUGGAUGAAUAUAAAUUGGUUUCCAGAAUUUAGGCUAAACGUAAAAGGAAUGUUGAGAUAUUAUUAUAAUUAUUAUUAUAGAUUGGUUUCUAGAAUUUCAGUUUAUUUAUCAGAUGCUAUGAAAUUAGCCUGAGGGCUAGCAUCCAAAUGGAAGCAAGUACUGAUGGGCUCCAUUUUUAAUGUCCUCCUCAGAGGACAUAGGCUAAAAGUAAAAGUUUUACGGUAAAUUUCAAAACUCUCUAAUAAUCUCAUGUAAUUUGAAUACUUUUUUUUACUCCAUCUUGCAACUUUCUUUUAGAGUCAAAAUCUCAUAGCACCUAAUGAUAUUUAUUUUUAUUUGUAAGUGAAAGAUUUUAAGUUCGAGUCUCGAUUCUCAAAUUAAUUAAACAAAAUUAUAACUAACUUUUUCACAAGUUCUGAAUGGUAUUCAUAUUGUAUCCCUUUUCCACAAUAUAGGCUUAAACGCCACAAUUACAGGGACAAAGAAAGUCAUAAAUUGGGGUCCAUUUGGAAUGAGGAAAUUUCAAUGCUCAAUCCAAUAUUGACUAGCAGAGAGCAUACACUUUGUGUGUAUGAACAACCGCCCACCUCUUCUCACGUUCUCAUCAAACGAAACUGCUUCAGUUCAUUCAAACUAUCCAAAAAAUAUUAUGAUUUCACUUACCUGUAUGAAAAAAUGAGAGUGGGACAAUUUUUCUUAAUAAGUGCAUAUUUUUUUAUUUUAUGUAAAUAUUUUGAUACAAAAUUACUAUUUUACCCUCCUCAUCUCAACAUUGUGUAUUCAAAAGUGAGAGGCAAAAUUAGAAAAAAUAGGCAAAAAGGUUGAUAAGGUGUAUUCUCUUAAUAAUAGUAUAGAUUACAAUAUGAGGAUUCGAGGGGAUCCUCAUCCGUACUUUUUAAACCCAUUUGCAAUUUUAUUGGUAUUCACAGUUUUAAAUUUACCCAUCGAUCCUCACAAAUUAUGCUAUUAAAUUUAGUACACUACUAGCCUUCACGCACGUGCGUGAGCGCGAAGAAGGUUUUUUUUGAAUCACAGCGCAACAUGCGUGCGUUUUAAAUGUAUUUAUAGACGUAAAUUGACAAAAGGAAAAUUAAAUAUUUGAAGUAAAUGAAUAAUUUUCAAUUAUGCUAGAACAAACCUCUUAUAAACCAAUUAAAAUCGUUGAAUUAACAUAAUAAAAUCAAUUUCUAUAGAAUUUACAUUAGGAAUAGAGAAAAUAAUAUUUAAUAAACAAUUGAUUGAAUCACAUUAUUACUAGCCGAUGUACUAAUUAUUAAAAAAACAAAACAAAAAUUGUACAGGAAAAAGUUAAAUAUUAAAAAACUGUUUAAAACUGUACACUGAAUAGUUAAAUAUUAAAACACUGUUCAUCACUGUAGACUAUAUAGUAAACUAUUAAAACACUGUUUAUAUGACGAAAAUACCCCUGCAUUAUUUGUUGUAUUAUUUUGAAUUACUUUGUUUGGAGGGCAGUUUGGUCCUUGUAGAAGCUGAAACACUGUUCACACUAUUCACCUUUCCUCCGGCUUUCUAUAUAAAAGAUGAAAUUUCUUUGAUUGAAAUCCCAAUCAUUCUCUAGUCGCAUAAUGAACUAAAACGUAAUCAUUCUACUUUAGUCUACAGUAUUUGAUUUCCAAGAAAUGUUCUCUCUCCCACUCCCUGGGCCCACACGCUACUGUGUAUUGCAUUGCGUUUAUGUUUGAGCAACUGAGAAAAUUAGGUGAUCUCCAAUUUCUAGUUUCAAAACGAUGGUUGAGAAAAAAAGAUAAUGAUAAUACUACCCUUUUGUCAAGUGUCUUCAUCUUAUAAGGUGUAAGAUGAAAGACUAAUAUUAUUUUGAUGUAAGCUUGAAUACUGUCAAAACCAUGUAACCAUUAAAACUUAAAAGAGUACUAGUGAAGCAAAAUUAUACAUAUUCUAAAAUCCAACACAAAAAGCACUGUUCAUUAACAGUGAAAGGCCUGUAUUAUAGAUAUGUUUUUUUAUAUCAAAUUUUAAAUUAUCGGUGUUAAUAAAAUUGAUUUGGUUUUCCAGAUCAUAAUUUUUAAGCAACAAAAUCAACCUGCAAAUUCAGUUCGGAUAUGAAUGCUUCUGCUUAUUUAGAUUGUUGAAUUGAUCUUUACCUUUACUAGAUUUUAUUUUUCAAUGUUGUUUGCUACAUCAUCGUGUUACUUUAUUAUUAAUAAUACUAAUUUGGUUUUGUAGAUUAAGAUUUUUAAGCGAGAAUCAAGUUCAAAAUUCAAUUGAGGUACGAGUCUUUUUGCUUAUUUGGGCUGUUGAAUUCAUCCUUGCCUUUACUGCAAUUUUUCUUUUUUACUGUUGUUUGGUACAUUCUGGUAUUGAUUUCAUUGCAAUUUUUCUCUUUGCCUUCAGUUUUUAUUGAAUUUAUUGACGUUUUGUGCACGAGUUAAUCUAUUUGUUAUAUGUCGUGGUUAAAGGUUUGGUUUCUUUCUUUUUUUCUUUUUAUCAAUCCUCUCUAUUUACAAUUUAAGUUGAAUUACCAUGGGAUGUACAACAAAGGAGGCUAAAAAGCAGUCUAGACCCAGGAAAAGGCCAUAAACAAAGCAAGGAAAAAGACCAGUGGUUAAAAAGGCCAAGUAGUCCGAAAGAGACAUAUAAACAAGACAUAAAGCGCAACUUUUGUCCAAAUCCUAGACAUCCCACUAACCCAAAAAAAUAAAAAAUGACAGCUAGCUACUCUAACGUGAUCAACACCUUUGCUUCAUUUUCCACGUUGGUGGGUUACCCACCCUAAGCCCCUCAAAUAAUUAACAAAUCAUUCAAACGUGUUUUAUGUUUGUGGGUUAUCCUGAACCUCUCACUAAUUAACAAAUAAACC